AGUGAACGCUGGCGGUAGGCCUAACACAUGCAAGUCGAGCGGCAGCACAGUAAUAGGUUGCUCUUACGGGGGGCGAGGGGCGGACGGGUGAGGAGUACAUCGGCAUCUGCUUGUGCGUGGAGUAUGACGGAGGUACACUUACGCUAAUACCGCAGACGACCUACGCGUGGGAGCGGGAGAUCUUGGGCGCUUGCACGGUCGAAUGAGCCGAUGUCGGAUUAGCUAGUUGGCGGGGUAAAGGCCCACCAAGGCGACGAUCCGUAGCUGGUCUGAGAGGAUGAUCAGCCACACUGGAACUGAGACACGGUCCAGACUCCUACGGGAGGCAGCAGUGGGGAAUAUUGGACAAUGGGCGCAAGCCUGAUCCAGCCAUACCGCGUGGGUGAAGAAGGCCUUCGGGUUGUAAAGCCCUUUUGUUGGGAAAGAAACGCUGCAGGCUAAUAUCCCGCUGUUCUGACGGUACCCAAAGAAGAAGCACCGGCUAACUUCGUG
This 492-nucleotide ribosomal RNA is filed under the name uncultured bacterium. RNAcentral's name for it is "partial 16S ribosomal RNA". It matches the Rfam family "Bacterial small subunit ribosomal RNA", at positions 29 to 507 of the family's 1533-position model. The record is from RNAcentral.